Molecule: ribosomal RNA, 449 nt
Filed under: uncultured bacterium
Lineage: Bacteria
Description: bacterial SSU rRNA
Rfam family: Bacterial small subunit ribosomal RNA
Source: RNAcentral
GCACGGGUGAGUAACGCGUGAACAACCUGACCUGAAGAGGGGAAUAACAGCGAGAAAUUGUUGCUAAUACCGCAUAAGACCACAAUGUCGCAUGGCAAAGGGGUCAAAGAUUUAUCGCUUCAGGAGGGGUUCGCGUCCCAUUAGGUAGUUGGUGAGAUAACAGCCCACCAAGCCGACGAUGGGUAGCCGAGCUGAGAGGCUGAUCGGCCACACUGGAACUGAGACACGGUCCAGACUCCUACGGGAGGCAGCAGUGGGGAAUAUUGGGCAAUGGGCGCAAGCCUGACCCAGCAACGCCGCGUGAGGGAAGAAGGUCUUCGGAUUGUAAACCUCUGUCGCAAGGGACGAAGAAGUGACGGUACCUUGUGAGGAAGCCCCGGCUAACUACGUGCCAGCAGCCGCGGUAAUACGUAGGGGGCGAGCGUUGUCCGGAAUUACUGGGCGUAAAG